ACCGUGUCUGUAUCAUCUAGGCUUCGGCCUGGAUGGACUUGCAGGCUAUGCCUGCCAACGACAAUUUGACUUGAGGGAAAAAACUAGGGGAAAUGUGGCCCACUUGUGGGUGUUAUAGUCCCUUAGAAAAUACCUUGGGUUGGAUUGAGGAACGCAGCGAAUGCUUAUUGGCGAGUUUUCCAGGAAGGUUUUCUGAGGUACUACGGUAUCAAGGUUGAUCUUUUUGGUUAUACUUCUAUUCGCUUAGGUUGUUGGCUUAAUGACUCUAAAUGACCCGUCUUGAAACACGGACCAAGGAGUC
RNAcentral lists this ribosomal RNA (301 nucleotides) under uncultured fungus. RNAcentral's name for it is "eukaryotic LSU rRNA". Lineage: Eukaryota; Fungi. The record is from RNAcentral.